ACCUAGUUGAUCCUGCUAGUAGUCAUAUGCUUGUCUAAGUAUGAACUAAAUUAGACUGUGAAACUGUUGAUGGCUCAUUAAAUCAGUUAUAUUUUCUUUAUGGUACCAUACUACUCAGAUAACCAUAGUAAUUCUAUAGAUAAUAUGUGCACCAAGUCCCGACUCUUUGGAAGGGAUGCAUUUUUUAGAUAAAAUGAUGGCACGAGCUUGCACACUUCUCCAGUGAAUCAUGAUAACUCAACAGAUCGCAAAACCCUUAUGUUGGCGAUGCUUCAUUCAAAUUUCUACCCUAUCAACUUUCGAUGGUAGGAUAGAGGCCUACCAUGGUGGUGAUGGGUGUGAGAUAAUUAGGGUUGAAUUUCAGAGAGGGAGUCUGAGAAACGGCUACCACAUCAAAGGAAGGAAGGAGGCAUGCAAAUUACCCAAUCCUAACAUGGGGAGGAAGUGGUAAUAAAUAAUAAUACUCUGCUCAUCGAGUUUGGUAAUUGGAAUGAGCAAAACCUAAAUCCCUUAAUGAGGAUCCAUUGGAGGGCAAGUCUGGUGCUAACAACCAUGGUAAUUCCAUCUCCAAUAAUGUAUAUUUUUGUUAUUGCAAUUAAAAAGCUCGUAUUUGGAUCUUGGGUCGUAAAGGUCAGUCUACCUACUUGGUGUACACCUGCCCUUCUAUCCAUUGUUUUGGCGGUGUGCUCCUAGCCUUAGUUGGUUAGGUCGCGGCUCCAAGACUGUUACUUUGACAAAAUUAGAGUGCUAAAAGAAAGCUUAUGCUCUGAAGACAUUAGCAUGGAAUAACGUGAUAGGAGUCUGGUCCUAUUGUGUUGGCCUUCGAGACCAGAGUAAUGAUUAGGGACUGUCGGGGGAAUUCGUAUUUCAUUGUCAGAGGUGAAAUUCUUGGAAUUAUGAAAGAUGAACCACUAUGAAAGAAAUUUCCAAUAAUGUUUUCAUUAAUCAAGAAUAAAAUUUAGGGACUCAAAGAUGAUAAAAUAUCGUCCUAGUCUCGACCAUAGACGAUAUCGACCAAGGAUCACUAGAUGUUUCUCUAAGGACUUUGCCAGCACCUUGAGGGAAAUUAGAGUGUUCGGGUUCCAGGGGGAGUAUGGUCGCAAGGCUGAAACUUAAAGGAAUUGAUGGAAGGGCACCAUAAGGAGUGGAGAAUGCAGCUUAAUUUGACUCAACACAGGGAAACUUACCAGGUCUAGACAUAGUAAGGAUUGAUAGAUUGAGAGCUCUUUCUUGAUUAUAUGGGUGGUGGUGCAUGGUCAUUCUUAGUUGGUGGAGUGAUUUGUGUACUUAAUUCCAAUAAAAAACAAGACCUCACCAUGCUAAAUAGCUACACGGAUCUUCCCCUUCACGACCAACUUCUUAGAGGGAUUAUGGCCAUUUAGCCAUGGAAGUUUCAGGCAAUAAUAGUUAUUUUAUUCCCUUAGAUGUUUUGGGCCGCACGAGUGCUACACUGAUGUAUCCAACAAGUUUUUAUUCCUGGUUCGAGAGGACUGGGAAAUAUUCUCAAAUUUCAUCGUGAUGGGGAUAGACCAUUUCAAUUAUUGGCCUUUAAUGAGGAAUUCCUAGUAAGCACGUUUCAUAAACUCGUGUUGACUACAUCCCUACCCUUUGUACACAACACCCAUCGCUCCUACCAAUUGAAUGAUCCGGUGAAGGGUUCAGAUUGCAUCGGCGAUGAUGGUUCGUCACUUUUGACGUCAUGAGAAGUUCAUCGAACCUUAUCAUUUAGAGGAAGGAUAAGUCAUAACAAGAUUACCGUAGGUGAACCUGCGGUAU
Molecule: ribosomal RNA, 1776 nt
Filed under: Pinus taeda (loblolly pine)
Lineage: Eukaryota; Viridiplantae; Streptophyta; Pinopsida; Pinales; Pinaceae
Description: SSU rRNA
Rfam family: Eukaryotic small subunit ribosomal RNA
Source: RNAcentral